This 253-nucleotide ribosomal RNA is filed under the name uncultured bacterium. RNAcentral's name for it is "partial 16S ribosomal RNA". It matches the Rfam family "Bacterial small subunit ribosomal RNA", at positions 524 to 776 of the family's 1533-position model. The record is from RNAcentral.
UACGUAGGUGGCGAGCGUUGUCCGGAUUUACUGGGCGUAAAGGGAGCGCAGGCGGACUUUUAAGUGAGAUGUGAAAUACUCGGGCUCAACUUGAGUGCUGCAUUUCAAACUGGAAGUCUAGAGUGCUGGAGAGGAGAAUGGAAUUCCUAGUGUAGCGGUGAAAUGCGUAGAGAUUAGGAAGAACACCAGUGGCGAAGGCGGUUCUCUGGACUGUAACUGACGCUGAGGCUCGAAAGCGUGGGGAGCAAACAGG